RNAcentral lists this ribosomal RNA (495 nucleotides) under uncultured bacterium. RNAcentral's name for it is "partial 16S ribosomal RNA". It matches the Rfam family "Bacterial small subunit ribosomal RNA", at positions 28 to 507 of the family's 1533-position model. The record is from RNAcentral.
GACGAACGCUGGCGGCGUGCCUAAUACAUGCCAGUAGAACGCUGAAGGAGGAGCUUGCUUCUCUGGAUGAGUUGCGAACGGGUGAGUAACGCGUAGGUAACCUGCCUGGUAGCGGGGGAUAACUAUUGGAAACGAUAGCUAAUACCGCAUAAGAGUAGAUGUUGCAUGACAUUUGCUUAAAAGGUGCAAUUGCAUCACUACCAGAUGGACCUGCGUUGUAUUAGCUAGCUGGUGAGGUAACGGCUCACCAAGGCGACGAUACAUAGCCGACCUGAGAGGGUGAUCGGCCACACUGGGACUGAGACACGGCCCAGACUCCUACGGGAGGCAGCAGUAGGGAAUCUUCGGCAAUGGACGGAAGUCUGACCGAGCAACGCCGCGUGAGUGAAGAAGGUUUUCGGAUCGUAAAGCUCUGUUGUAAGAGAAGAACGAGUGUGAGAGUGGAAAGUUCACACUGUGACGGUAUCUUACCAGAAAGGGACGGCUAACUACGUG